UUGAAAAUCUCAACCUCAGUCUCUUCUACUUAUCCACAGAACAGGAACAGCAUAAGCAUCAACAGUGCAGACUUCCUCACGUUGUUCCCAAUCUUGGCCCAAAGGGACUACUUCUAGGAGUAACAGGGUAAAUCAGUCAUCAUGGCCCAUUCAAUCCUCGGCCUGU
This 166-nucleotide small RNA is filed under the name Chrysemys picta bellii (western painted turtle). RNAcentral's name for it is "TUC338 (ENSCPBG00000010216.1)". The record is from RNAcentral. Lineage: Eukaryota; Metazoa; Chordata; Testudines; Emydidae.